AAAUGAAUUGACGGGGACCUACACAAGCGGUGGAUCACGUGGCUUAAUUCGACAGUAAGCGAGGAACCUUACCAGGGCUUGACAAGGUAGUGAAAGCUAUAAGAAAUUAUAGCCCAUCGCAAGAACACUACCCCAGGUGCUGCAUGGUUGUUGUCAGCAGGUGGCUUGAGUUGCUCCCUUAAAUGGGGUAACCUGCGCAACCCUUGCUCUAUGUUUUAUAUGUCAUAGAGGACUGCCCGGGACAACCGGGAGGAAGGUGGGGAUGACACCAAAUCAGCAUGGCCUUUUGAUGCCCUGGGCCGCACACGUGAUACAAUGGAACUGACAAAGGGUCGCCAAGCCGUAAGGCGGAGCUAAUCCCAUCAAACAGUUCCCCAAUUCGGAUUGAGGUCUGAAACCCGACCUCAUGAAGCCGGAAUCGCUAGUAACCGUGGAUCAGCCACGUCACGGUGAAUAUGUCCCUGGGUCUUGUACACACCGCCCGU
This 485-nucleotide ribosomal RNA is filed under the name uncultured bacterium. Its description in RNAcentral is "bacterial SSU rRNA". It matches the Rfam family "Bacterial small subunit ribosomal RNA", at positions 903 to 1397 of the family's 1533-position model. The record is from RNAcentral.